GUGAAAUUAAGCUCUUCAUUCAGGUCAUCUUCAACUGGUCUUUUCUGUACUGCCUACUCCAACUAUUUCACUCUCCCUGCUCCCUUCAGUUAUCCAGUCAUGGACCAAUCAUGUGAGGAGGGGGAAAACUGCAUAUCAUGAAUGUGCUUUGAUCCUGCUUUGCUCCCAGCGGACCAGUACUGGGUGGGGGAGUUCCCUUGCAUCUCUGGCUUCCGGGCACUGGAUUCUCCAAUGGGCUGCCUCUCUCCAAGGCUGGAAGUACUCACCAUGAUGCAUCCUAG
RNAcentral lists this long non-coding RNA (281 nucleotides) under Crocodylus porosus (Australian saltwater crocodile). RNAcentral's name for it is "lncRNA (ENSCPRG00005013991.1)". The record is from RNAcentral. Lineage: Eukaryota; Metazoa; Chordata; Crocodylia; Crocodylidae.